GAUGAAGAACGUAGCGAAAUGCGAUAAGUAAUGUGAAUUGCAGAAUUCAGUGAAUCAUCGAGUCUUUGAACGCACAUUGCGCCCCCUGGUAUUCCGGGGGGCAUGCCUGUCCGAGCGUCAUUGCUGCCCUCAAGCACGGCUUGUGUGUUGGGCCGUCGUCCCCCUCCUAGGGGACGGGCCCGAAAGGCAGCGGCGGCACCGCGUCCGGUCCUCGAGCGUAUGGGGCUUCGUCACCCGCUCCGUAGGCCAGGCCGGCGCUUGCCGACGACCAUCAAUCUCUUUCUCCAGGUUGACCUCGGAUAAGGUAGGGAUACCCGCUGAACUUAAGCAUAUCAAUAAGCGGAGGA
This 347-nucleotide unclassified non-coding RNA is filed under the name soil metagenome. RNAcentral's name for it is "partial contains 5.8S ribosomal RNA, internal transcribed spacer 2, and large subunit ribosomal RNA". The stretch from base 1 to 120 matches the Rfam family "5.8S ribosomal RNA", at positions 35 to 154 of the family's 154-position model. The record is from RNAcentral.